AAACACAUUCACGUAUUAUUAUCUCACUAUAUGGAAGAAUGCCCUCAAUUGGUUAUUUAUCAAGAAAAUCCGAUUCCGAAUCCAAUUUUUAAUCCUGCUACAUUGGUUUCAUUAUGCGAAUCUGCCAUUGCAAAAGAGAAAAAAUGUAUCGAAGUAUUUGAAAAGGAAUGUGAUGCCAAAUACUAUCAACUAACAAUACUGGCAACUCCAUUUAAAAUACAUUGGGCGUUUUUGUCGCAACAAGGGCGCUAUCUGAGCGACUUGGCAAGUAACAGUAAUUAAUAGGCAUUUAUGUCAAGGGCUGUGAUUGGUCGAUUUAAAUCUCGCGGAUAUCAGUAGUACCACACAACACACACAACAAACUAAAAAAAAACGAACUGAUAAAACAUCAUUAUCCCGCAAAAUUCAAUUCAACCAAUCAGAAUGCUUCUAAUAGGAUUUAGUUACUUGCCUGGCCGCUAGGAGGAUUAAACAUCAUUUUUCAACAGAGUUGCCAGUAUUGUUAGUUGAUAGUAUUUGGUGAUGCUUUAAAUAGUUCCAUUAAAGAAAAAUUAUCAAGCAGCAGCCAAUGGAUAAUCUACAAAACGUCGUUGAUGCAAACAUUGUCGAAGAUCAGCGCAAUGGCGAAAAUGAAAAAUAAUUAUGAAAAAAAUGUAAUCGCAUCGUCCACGAAUUCGAAUUCUAUCAUUCGUGGUUCUUUCACUAAGCAGAAACGCACAUUUUCUUCGAAAAAGAAGAGUGCUACUGCUAUGGGACCUGACUGAUGAUGAAACAAUAAAACAUCAAAACUGGCAAAA
Molecule: long non-coding RNA, 797 nt
Organism: Planococcus citri (citrus mealybug)
Lineage: Eukaryota; Metazoa; Arthropoda; Insecta; Hemiptera; Pseudococcidae
Exons: 3
Source: RefSeq, a predicted model, not a curated record